UACAAAUUUACAAUACUUGAGGUUAUAACAUGGACAUCAUUUAAAAUUUAGAAUUUAAUUUACAAGUAUGGAAGUUUAAUGACUAAAUUUAAGCUUAAUUGAAGAAGGGGGAUUUACUUUGCAAAUUUUAGUUGUGGCCCAUUUAAAAACCACUUGUUCAUUUCAUUACACAUAGAAAAACAUAUGCAAGAAUCUGGAAACUGGAAACGGGGCAGAAGCUGGGAGAAUUCGAGAAAGAGAGGGAGAAAGAGAGAAAAAGGAAAAAAGAAGGAAAUGGAAGAGGCUGAUGAUUUUUGUAAGUUUGGGUUCUUCAUUUCUUCAGCUUAUCACUUUUUUUAGAGAGGUAAGUUAAUUAAAUUUCUAGGGUUUAUGGAACAUUCAUUUAUAUUCGAAGUUUAGCAAGAAUUAGAGAUUAUUAUUAUGUUUUUGAGGUAUUAAACAAGAAUAUAUCAAAGGAAUGUAUAUUUGAAAAUUUGUGAUGAAGAAAAUGGAAUUUUGAAGGGGUUUGUGAGAUAAGUGUUUACUCUUUGAUUUUCUUGUGAUUAUAUAAUACUGAACACUUAAAUUAGGGAUUUGAGAUUGGAAUUUCCCAUUUUUUUUAAAGUAAUUUUCGGGUUACUGUAGUAUAGGUGCUGUUUCUGAUAGUGUGCACAGAAUGGUGCCACUUCUGUCAAUAGUUUUGGUGUCAAAUUUCAAUAUUGAGAAAUUGGUGUCACAUUUCAAUAUUCUGGAAUUUUAGUGCUGUCUUUGUCAAACCUUUGAUUUUCACAUUUUAAAGGCUUGAAUGAAGUUUUAUGACAAGUAUUGAGAUUUAUGUAUUGGAAUAAAUUAUGCAUAGGGGUUGUAUAUGUAUAAGUUAUUGAUUUUAAGGAAGUGAGAGUAAUUUAAUGGAUUUAAUAAUGCAUGGUAUUUAGUUGAUAAAUCAUUAAAGAGAAGAAAGUUAGAGAAUUGGAAAUGUAAGAGUAAGUAUAGAAGUUGAGAAGUUAAGUGGUGGAUUUAUAUUAAUUUAAUUGUUAGAUUUUAAUUCGAGAAAUUAUACCGUUAUUUCAGGCGGGAAUGUGGAAGCUUGGAAAUCUUCGUCAAUUUAAGCAAAUUUCUAUUCAUAGAUCUGUGAGUGGAAAAAUAUAAAUAUUUUUAGAGUAUUUAUAAAUUAAGUUUAUUGUUAAAGUAUGUGUAAUUAUAUGCAAUUAUGUGUUCGAAUUAAAUGAUUUUUAUGGAAAUAUCUUUUAUUAUAAUAUAUGUGGGAUUUCAAAGAUUGUAUACGUUACAUUGUGAAUUGGAAUAUGAGAUAUAAUUUUGAGAUCGACCAGAAGAGUACCCGUGAUUAUAUAUUUCUUCUAGUUCACUGAGGGGCCUUGAUCGUGUUCUAUACUACACAGAGGGGUCAUGGACCGAGGAUGAAGGGGUCUCGACCGUGUACAUAUAGUUCACUGAGGGGCCCUGGUUGUGUUCUAGAAUUGAUUUUGAGAGGUUUUUGACUCCGACUUUCGUUCACGGAGGAGCUAAAGGCCCGUGGCGAAAGUUCCUUGCCCAAGAGGCGGAUUACAUAUUUCAAUCAAAGGGUAUAUUUUUGAUGGAUUUUUCAGUACGUUUGAUGUGAUGAGAUUAUAGCAUGGUUAUCAGCUAAUGUCUAUAUCAUGAUUUUGAGAUGAUAUUUUACGACCUUAUGUGAAUAUUUCACUUUUUGGUUAUAAUUACAUGAUGUUAUCUUCUAAAUUAUUAAAUGAUAUGAACUCCAUUUUCGAUAGAAAUGUAAAAUUGAAAAAGUAUAAUUAUUUUCGAACUGCUCCACUCACUGAGUUAUCAACUCAUAUAUUUUUCUAUAAUUUUUCCUACAGGUGGAAAUUGAUUUUUUUUAGCUGGAAGAGCCUAAUGAUUUCGGAAUAAGAGCCAUACGACAUGUUGAAUAUUAUAACUCAUAUUGAUGAAGCACGAAGUAAAAAUUUUGGGCCCAUCGCAUUAUGUUUUUAUAAAUAUUUGAUUUUGUUGCAUUUUUUUUGAAAUAACUCAUAGUCAGCCUUGAUGAUAGAUUUGACAUCGAGUCAGCAUCUAUCAUCGGCGCACGUCACGUUUCGGGUCCACUAGGGUGAUUCGGGACGGGUCGUGUCACUUUUUAACUACACAUUCUCCAAAAAAUUAAUAUUUCAAAAUGAAUUCCCCAAAAUCUCAUUAAAAUGGUGCCCAAACAAGAGUUGAAGUUUAUCAUUUCCACAUAAGAGGUGUGUCCAUUGAAGAUAUGAAGAAAUGGAUAUAAAAGAGCUCCAUGGUUGGAAAAAUGGUAAAAUGGAAUGCGAAUAUCUAAUGUUACCUUUUCAUUAUUUAUCUAUUAUUAUUUUUCAAAAAAUAUGUUUUGGGAAUGACCAAAUCUAUAAAAUUUCACCAGCUUUCGGUCAAUUGGUUGGUUUGCCUGUUAAUUCACCGUUUCCUAUUAUGUGCUUAUUAUUUUUGUCUUUUUUUUUAAGAAUCGGACCGAACUUGUCAAUUUUUUCAAUUGAACCGAUCAAUCGAUCCAAUUUUAAG
This 2520-nucleotide long non-coding RNA is filed under the name Olea europaea subsp. europaea. The record is from RNAcentral. Lineage: Eukaryota; Viridiplantae; Streptophyta; Magnoliopsida; Lamiales; Oleaceae.